This 144-nucleotide ribosomal RNA is filed under the name uncultured eukaryote. RNAcentral describes it as "partial 18S ribosomal RNA". It matches the Rfam family "Eukaryotic small subunit ribosomal RNA", at positions 1299 to 1458 of the family's 1831-position model. The record is from RNAcentral.
UGGUGGAGUGAUUUGUCUGGUUAAUUCCGUUAACGAACGAGACCUCGACCUACUAAAUAGGAUUAUAAACUCUUUCUUUGGGUUUAUAUAUACUUCUUAGAGGGACUAUCGGUUUGUAGCCGAUGGAAGUUCGAGGCAAUAACA